Hyla sarda is the source of this 129-nucleotide non-coding RNA. Lineage: Eukaryota; Metazoa; Chordata; Amphibia; Anura; Hylidae. The record is from RefSeq and is a predicted model, not a curated record.
GUGGCAGACUUGACUUUGUUGCAUUAAGUACCAGUUUAAUGUGACUUCAGCCUGCCACAUAAAUUAAAUGGUUCCUGCCGACAGGGCCUGUAUAGAUAUCGGGCUCCCUGUGCGAUGGCUCCAUACAUU